AGUAAUGCUUGGGAAUCUAGCUUAUGAGGGGGAGUAACUACGGGAAACUGUAGCUAAUACCGCGUAGAAUCGGAAGAUGAAAGUGCGGGACCGCAAGGCCGCAUGCCAUGAGAUGAGCCCAAGUGGGAUUAGGUAGUUGGUGGGGUAAAGGCCUACCAAGCCUGCGAUCUCUAGCUGGUCUGAGAGGAUGGCCAGCCACACUGGAACUGAGACACGGUCCAG
This 222-nucleotide ribosomal RNA is filed under the name uncultured bacterium. RNAcentral's name for it is "partial 16S ribosomal RNA". It matches the Rfam family "Bacterial small subunit ribosomal RNA", at positions 109 to 334 of the family's 1533-position model. The record is from RNAcentral.